GACGAACGCUGGCGGCGUGCUUAACACAUGCAAGUCGAACGGAAAGGCCCUGCUUUUGUGGGGUGCUCGAGUGGCGAACGGGUGAGUAACACGUGAGUAACCUGCCCUUGACUUUGGGAUAACUUCAGGAAACUGGGGCUAAUACCGGAUAGGAGCUCCUGCUGCAUGGUGGGGGUUGGAAAGUUUCGGCGGCUGGGGAUGGACUCGCGGCUUAUCAGCUUGUUGGUGGGGUAGUGGCUUACCAAGGCUUUGACGGGUAGCCGGCCUGAGAGGGUGACCGGCCACAUUGGGACUGAGAUACGGCCCAGACUCCUACGGGAGGCAGAAGUGGGGAAUAUUGCACAAUGGGCGGAAGCCUGAUGCAGCAACGCCGCGUGCGGGAUGACGGCCUUCGGGUUGUAAACCGCUUUCGCCUGUGACGAAGCGUGAGUGACGGUAAUGGGUAAAGAAGCACCGGCUAACUACGUG
Molecule: ribosomal RNA, 468 nt
Filed under: uncultured bacterium
Lineage: Bacteria
Description: partial 16S ribosomal RNA
Rfam family: Bacterial small subunit ribosomal RNA
Source: RNAcentral